UAGACAUGAUGUUAACUUGCUAAUUAGAAUUUAGAAGUUCCUGGUCUGGUAGUUCCUAUUCUUUUGGAGAAGCUAACUUACUAGUGGACUUUCCUUUUCGUGUGUGUGUGUGUGUGUGUGUGUGUGUGUGUGUGUGUGUGUGUGUAAGUUACUCAGGAUUGAUCCCAGGACCUCACACAUUCUAG
RNAcentral lists this small RNA (185 nucleotides) under Marmota monax (woodchuck). The record is from RNAcentral. Lineage: Eukaryota; Metazoa; Chordata; Mammalia; Rodentia; Sciuridae.